Molecule: long non-coding RNA, 832 nt
Organism: Drosophila miranda
Lineage: Eukaryota; Metazoa; Arthropoda; Insecta; Diptera; Drosophilidae
Exons: 3
Source: RefSeq, a predicted model, not a curated record
GUGUGCUCAGAGCUCUAGCUUAUCUGCAUGCAAGGGAAUAAACGGGAAUAAAGCGAAAGCUUUUGACGAGAGAGCGAGCUUUGGGCUAUCUUGGUGGGUUAUCUAGCCCUUGUGCUUUAGAAUGGGAUGAAGAAACAAAAUCAAAGCUCAAGCGCUGGAUCAUUCGAUCCAUGGAACUAAAUUGUGGAAGGUCAGUUUGGUGGUACGGCGAGAUAAAAGAAAAGAAAAGAAUAAAAGGUUAUACACGUGUCUGAAAAAAAAAGAAAAAUUGAAAUCAAUAAAUCGUCGAAAGUAGGGUGCACAUGCCAAGCUGCCCCAAAAAUUAAGAUCAAUGUUCUCAAGGAUAAACCCGGUUUCAAGCCCCAAACGGGGUCUGAGCUUUGCCAGUCGAUCUCGGUUUCUCCAGUGUAAUUUAAUAUUGACGAAAGUUAUCCAACGGAGGUCAAACUUCUGCCGCACAACGAAAAUUUGCGAUCAACCUUAUUUUUGACCUUGGCAGAGGACAUACAGUUGCCUCUGAAAUUCUAUGUCGUGGCCUGGAUAGGCACAGACAUAUCCAUAUCGGAUGUCUUCAAGGAAAAGGAAUGACACACACACACACACACACUGAAUUCAACCGUAGCUACUAUUGCUAUUAUUAUUAUUUUUUUUGCAUUUAAAUUUUGUACAUUAUAAUCUAAUCUAGGACACAUCGAUGCAUGCAGGCCUGUUGCAGCGAUGGAAAACCAAACAUAAAUAAGAUGUUAUGAAGAUUUGAGGUGAUGCUGAGGAUGGUUGUUAGUUGGAGUGGAGUUAAAAUAUGAAAAUACACUGAAGAUUGAUCAACAUGAAA